Molecule: long non-coding RNA, 250 nt
Filed under: Elaeis guineensis (African oil palm)
Lineage: Eukaryota; Viridiplantae; Streptophyta; Magnoliopsida; Arecales; Arecaceae
Description: long non-coding RNA (EGUI_LNC054565)
Source: RNAcentral
CCUAGCUUCAAACCCUCUUUUCCAAACCAACCAUCUAUCUUCCCAAAAUCUUUGCUUUUCCUUAAAAUCCCUUCCACUCUACCCCUCAUCAAAUCUCCCAGGCUGUUCGCAAGUCUCUCCUGUCCAAAAUGGCUCCCAAAUCAAAGCUACCACAGAGAAGAAAAUCUGUUUGAGGAUUAGAGGAAGAUAUGCGCAGAAAAAGAAUGACAGCCGAGCCCUCUUCUGCUCUAGCUCCAGUUUCAGAUCCGAC